CGCGUGCGCGCGGGGCACCCGCCGCCAACCGGGCAAACCAGGCAGCAGGCGACCGAAGACCGUCCGCGGAGGAGACAAGGCAUCCCUGUGUUGUCCAGCCUGGUCUCAGACUCCUGGGUUUAAGCAAUCCUCCCACCUCAGACUCCCAAAAUGCUGAAUUACAGACGUACCAGUUGAAUGAAGAGAAGCACACCUCCUCCCCAGAACAGUACUGCAGCUAUGAUAUAACGCCUGGGCAGGGUUCGCAAUAGCAGCCAGGCUGUAAUGUAAGCUGGAAUUUCAAUCAAGGCAGAGAGGAAACAGUUCAGAUGGAGUCUUGCUCUGCUGCCCAGACUGGAGUGCAGUAGUGCGAUCUAGGCUCACUGGAACCUCCACCUCCUGGGUUCAAGUGAUUCUCCUGCCUCAGCCUCCCAAGUAGCUGGGAUUACAGAUAGAGUCUCGCUCUGUGGCCCAGGCUGGAGUGCAGUGGUGUGAUCUCAGCUCACUUCAACCUCCACCUCCCAGGUUCAAGCGAUUCUCCUGCCUCUCAGCCUCCUGAGUAGCUGGGAUUACAGCACUUGAGCAGAGGAAAGACCAUGUGAGGACUUAGGGAGAAGCCAGCCAUCUGCAACCCAACGGGAGAAACCUCGCCAGACACCAGACCUGCUGGCACUUUGAUCUUGGACUUCUACC
This is a long non-coding RNA of Symphalangus syndactylus (siamang), 672 nucleotides long. RefSeq lists it as uncharacterized. Lineage: Eukaryota; Metazoa; Chordata; Mammalia; Primates; Hylobatidae. The record is from RefSeq and is a predicted model, not a curated record.